Molecule: ribosomal RNA, 482 nt
Filed under: uncultured bacterium
Lineage: Bacteria
Description: partial 16S ribosomal RNA
Rfam family: Bacterial small subunit ribosomal RNA
Source: RNAcentral
AUUGAACGCUGGCGGCAUGCUUUACACAUGCAAGUCGAACGGUAACAGGCCGCAAGGUGCUGACGAGUGGCGCACGGGUGAGUAAUGCAUCGGAACGUGCCCAGUCGUGGGGGAUAACUACUCGAAAGAGUAGCUAAUACCGCAUACGAUCUAUGGAUGAAAGCGGGGGACCGUAAGGCCUCGCGCGAUUGGAGCGGCCGAUGUCAGAUUAGGUAGUUGGUGGGGUAAAGGCUCACCAAGCCAACGAUCUGUAGCUGGUCUGAGAGGACGACCAGCCACACUGGGACUGAGACACGGCCCAGACUCCUACGGGAGGCAGCAGUGGGGAAUUUUGGACAAUGGGCGCAAGCCUGAUCCAGCAAUGCCGCGUGCAGGAAGAAGGCCCUCGGGUUGUAAACUGCUUUUGUACGGAACGAAACGGCUCUGGUUAAUACCCGGGGCUAAUGACGGUACCGGAAGAAUAAGCACCGGCUAACUACGUG